AUCUUUUGUGCAGAGUGCAAUAACAGUAUCCAUGAAGGUCUCCUGAGGUCUGUUUAUUCGCUAUUUGAAAACAAUCAAUCCAUUCCAGUAUCAGGUGCCUAACGGCCCUGGUCAAUUUUUAACACGCCGCUUCGUGCGGG
RNAcentral lists this small nuclear RNA (140 nucleotides) under Sphaeroforma arctica JP610. RNAcentral's name for it is "U4 spliceosomal RNA". It matches the Rfam family "U4 spliceosomal RNA". Rfam says of the family: U4 small nuclear RNA (U4 snRNA) is a component of the major U2-dependent spliceosome. The structure of U4 snRNA from yeast and human has been reported. U4 snRNA presents a k-turn RNA motif in the 5p-SL related to recognition of Snu13 protein. The record is from Rfam by way of RNAcentral. Lineage: Eukaryota; Ichthyosporea; Ichthyophonida.